Molecule: transfer RNA, 67 nt
Filed under: Polyura nepenthes
Lineage: Eukaryota; Metazoa; Arthropoda; Insecta; Lepidoptera; Nymphalidae
Description: tRNA-Ala
Rfam family: tRNA
About the family: Transfer RNA (tRNA) molecules are approximately 80 nucleotides in length. Their secondary structure includes four short double-helical elements and three loops (D, anti-codon, and T loops).
Source: RNAcentral
AGGAUCAUAAUUUAAUUAAAAUAUUUGAUUUGCAAUCAAAAAAUAUUGAAUAAUUCAAUUUAUCUUG